Molecule: ribosomal RNA, 253 nt
Filed under: uncultured bacterium
Lineage: Bacteria
Description: partial 16S ribosomal RNA
Rfam family: Bacterial small subunit ribosomal RNA
Source: RNAcentral
UACGUAGGGGGCAAGCGUUGUCCGGAAUCAUUGGGCGUAAAGAGCGUGUAGGCGGCCCGGUAAGUCCGCUGUGAAAGUCCAGGGCUCAACCCUGGGAUGCCGGUGGAUACUGUCGGGCUCGAGUCCGGAAGAGGAGUGUGGAAUUCCUGGUGUAGCGGUGAAAUGCGCAGAUAUCAGGAGGAACACCGGUGGCGAAGGCGGUGAUCUGGGCCGACACUGACGCUGUAGAGCGAAAGCGUGGGGAGCGAACAGG